GUAAAAACGAUGAUAGGGCAGUAAAGUUAUGAAUACUCUUUUUCAGCGAGCCAAGGAUAGUGGAAGCUUGGUAAAGACCAUAACUUGAAUAUCCCCCUUGAGUUCUUGCUUUGAACGCCGUAUGGUUAGUAAAUAAAAGCGGGUUAUUCACGAUACGAAUGUUAAGCGGACAUAAUGAUGUAUGUCUAUUAGGGUGGUACCGCGGGAGAACCUCUCGUCCCUUCU
Molecule: non-coding RNA, 225 nt
Filed under: Heyndrickxia ginsengihumi
Lineage: Bacteria; Bacillati; Bacillota; Bacilli; Caryophanales; Bacillaceae
Description: Bacillus ginsengihumi T-box sequence
Rfam family: T-box leader
About the family: Uncharged tRNA acts as the effector for transcription antitermination of genes in the T-box leader family. T-boxes are found upstream of many aminoacyl-tRNA synthetase genes and some amino acid biosynthetic genes usually in Gram-positive bacteria.
Source: RNAcentral